RNAcentral lists this unclassified non-coding RNA (292 nucleotides) under Hevea brasiliensis (rubber tree). The record is from RNAcentral. Lineage: Eukaryota; Viridiplantae; Streptophyta; Magnoliopsida; Malpighiales; Euphorbiaceae.
UUUUGCGCUACUAGAAACCAGAUGCAUGAUGGAAGAAGACAGCAGAACAUAAAUAGAACAACUGAAGCCCCUGUCUGAGACAAAUAGCGGUACAUGGAGUAAACUGACCAUAUUCUCAUAAAGUUCCCAACAACAUGGAUUAUCUGCAAGGGGGUUUGCCUCAUGGUAGCAGAAUGAGAUGAACCUCGAUUUUCUGAAAGUGGCUUCGGAGACAUCAUUUUUGCAACGACUAAUCUGUUUUAAGCUUCAAUGAAUCGAUUGAGAAUGAACCGAGUUUAGUGGUAAAUGCAGA